CGCUGGCGGCGUGCCUAACACAUGCAAGUCGAACGGAGUCGGCCCGCAAGGGACUGACUUAGUGGCGAACGGGUGAGUAACGCGUGAGCAACCUGCCUUUCAGUGGGGGACAACAGUUGGAAACGACUGCUAAUACCGCAUAACAUAUAGAUGUCGCAUGGCAUUUAUAUCAAAGAUUUAUCGCUGAAAGAUGGUCUCGCGUCUGAUUAGCUAGUUGGCGGGGUAACGGCCCACCAAGGCGACGAUCAGUAGCCGGUCUGAGAGGUUGAACGGCCACAUUGGGACUGAGACACGGCCCAGACUCCUACGGGAGGCAGCAGUGGGGAAUAUUGCACAAUGGGCGCAAGCCUGAUGCAGCAACGCCGCGUGGAGGAAGACGGUUUCGGAUUGUAAACUCCUGUUCUUAGUGAAGAAUAAUGACGGUAGCUAAGGAGCAAGCCACGGCUAACUACGUG
Molecule: ribosomal RNA, 455 nt
Filed under: uncultured bacterium
Lineage: Bacteria
Description: bacterial SSU rRNA
Rfam family: Bacterial small subunit ribosomal RNA
Source: RNAcentral